GUGCCCGUAGUUCAGUUGGUUAGAAUGCCAGGUUGUGAUCCUGGAGGUCGAGGGUUCGAACCCCUUCGGGCACCCCA
This 77-nucleotide transfer RNA is filed under the name bacterium. Its description in RNAcentral is "tRNA-His". It matches the Rfam family "tRNA". From Rfam's summary of the family: Transfer RNA (tRNA) molecules are approximately 80 nucleotides in length. The record is from RNAcentral. RNAcentral also lists the same sequence under 1 other name.